This 1042-nucleotide ribosomal RNA is filed under the name Ropalospora lugubris. Its description in RNAcentral is "eukaryotic LSU rRNA". It matches the Rfam family "Eukaryotic large subunit ribosomal RNA", at positions 1 to 1066 of the family's 3401-position model. The record is from RNAcentral. Lineage: Eukaryota; Fungi; Ascomycota; Lecanoromycetes; Umbilicariales; Ropalosporaceae.
UUGACCUCGGAUCAGGUAGGGAUACCCGCUGAACUUAAGCAUAUCAAUAAGCGGAGGAAAAGAAACCAACAGGGAUUGCCUCAGUAACGGCGAGUGAAGCGGCAACAGCUCAAAUUUGAAAUCUGGCCCCGGGGUCCGAGUUGUAAUUUGCAGAGGAUGCUUCGGGUGAGGCGCCGAUCUAAGUUCCCUGGAACAGGACGUCACAGAGGGUGAGAAUCCCGUACGUGACCGGCUGCCGAGCCCGCGCGAAGCUCCUUCGACGAGUCGAGUUGUUUGGGAAUGCAGCUCUAAAUGGGUGGUAAAUUUCAUCUAAAGCUAAAUACCGGCCGGAGACCGAUAGCGCACAAGUAGAGUGAUCGAAAGAUGAAAAGCACUUUGGAAAGAGAGUUAAAAAGUACGUGAAAUUGUUGAAAGGGAAGCGCUUGCGGCCAGACUCGCUUGGGGGUGAUCAGCCGCUAUUUGUAGCGGUGCACUCGCCCUCCGGCGGGCCAGCAUCAGUUCGGGCGGCCGGACAAAGGCCGAGGGAACGUAGCUCCCCCCGGGGAGUGUUAUAGCCCGCGGUGCAAUGCGGCCAGCUGGGACUGAGGACCGCGCUUCGGCUAGGAUGCUGGCGUAAUGGUCGCAAGCGGCCCGUCUUGAAACACGGACCAAGGAGUCUAACAUCUAUGCGAGUGUUUGGGUGUCAAACCCACACGCGGAAUGAAAGUGAACGGAGGUGGGAACCCCUCGGGGCGCACCAUCGACCGAUCCAGAUGUCUUCGGAUGGAUUUGAGUAGGAGCAUAGCUGUUGGGACCCGAAAGAUGGUGAACUAUGCCUGAAUAGGGUGAAGCCAGAGGAAACUCUGGUGGAGGCUCGCAGCGGUUCUGACGUGCAAAUCGAUCGUCAAUUUGGGUAUAGGGGCGAAAGACUAAUCGAACUAUCUAGUAGCUGGUUCACGCCGAAGUUUCCCUCAGGAUAGCAGUAACGUUUUCAGUUUUAUGAGGUAAAGCGAAUGUUUAGUGGCCUUGGGGUUAAAAUAACCUUAACCAAUUCUCAACCUUC